Long non-coding RNA from Fukomys damarensis (Damara mole-rat), 1141 nucleotides. RefSeq lists it as uncharacterized. The transcript has 4 exons. NCBI's taxonomy places the organism in Eukaryota, Metazoa, Chordata, Mammalia, Rodentia, Bathyergidae. The record is from RefSeq and is a predicted model, not a curated record.
GCAGCAGCAGCACCAACACCACCGUCACCUCUCCCGGCUGGACUCUGAAACCACCACACCAGCUUUCAUUAGGCCGUCCCAGAAUCAAGAGCGGAAUUAUCAGAAGCAAUUAAAACUCCACGCAACCGCGAUCAUAUUACUCAGGAAAAAGCGAAACCAGGUCAAGGUGCAAGCCGCCGGCACCCCCCAAACCCGCCGGGGCGCAGGGCCAGGGCUGUUUACAGGUUUACUCCCAGGCCUUAAAAGCUUAGGUGGUUUGUGGGAACGGGAGAAAAGCCUGAGAAGAGAAAAGCGGGCAGGCGAAGCGAUUACAUAGGCCUUUCCUCCCUCCCGGCAGGCGCGCUGCUCUCAGCAAGCAAUUAGCAGGUCAAUUUACAGCAUGCAAUAAAGAAAACACUCCCUAUCAGCUGCUGCAAGUUAUUACAGAUUUUCGAUGUACAUUAAACGAGUGCACCCGGCCUUUCCAACGGAUACGCGCGAUCUCCAGCGACAACAGGGUCACCCAAUUUCGCGAUCAAGGCUUGGAUCACUGAUUAGACACAAGCCUACCUAGAACAUCCCAUCAAAAGCCAUCUUUCUUUGAAUUUCUCUUGAGGCUGCUGUGCCUUCCUGGAACUCAGAACUCUCAGCUCUGCUGUGGAGCCCCAGAUGCUGCCCUACCCACCUUCUCCUUCCCACCGGCCUCAUCUUGCACCUACCCGAGCUGUACUUUGCUUCCUGCCUGCUGACGUGGCCUGCCCUCAAACUCAGGAGCGAGUACCCUAGGGGUAUUUUUACCCAUUCAUUGGCCAGGGGCUCCUUUGCUCAAUUCAGAUAGAAAUCAUGAAUAAGCAAAGUGCAAGUGCCCUAGUGUAGCUGCUCUAGUGUUACCCACUCCGAACUGUGAAUGCCAGCAGCUCUCAUCUCCUCAUGUUAGCAGCUGUCCUCACUGCUCUCCAAGCCAUGAAGCGAGCAGCUCCAGCAGCUCUCCAAGGUCUUCAGUCACUCAGAGGGAAAAGUUCUCCCUUGUUAUUGGUCACUCUCUGGUUGGAAGCCACCCACAAUGUUACCAGCUCUGGCUGCUGGCCAUUUUCGGUGCCUACUGCCUUUAGUGUUACCAGCAAAUAAUGCAGCCAGUUCAGCCUACCCUACUCCAGAUUGA